This 386-nucleotide ribosomal RNA is filed under the name Marmessoidea bispina. Its description in RNAcentral is "partial large subunit ribosomal RNA". The record is from RNAcentral. Lineage: Eukaryota; Metazoa; Arthropoda; Insecta; Phasmatodea; Lonchodidae.
CCUGAAUUCGAAAGGGACCGGAUUCAAUACCUACCGAGUGUUCGGGGCUCGCCCGCCAGAUGGCGCCGGUCGCCCGCGGUGCGAUUCAUUUCGCCCGCGGUGUCGUUCCCGGCGAUCACUCGGCGCGGUUUCGAUGCCUUCCCGGCUCCGGAGGGGUGCACUUCCUCCCUAGUAGAAACGUCGCGACCCGUUGGGUGCCGGUCAAAGGCCCUUGGGAAGGCAGACCGCGCGUUCCGUGGGGGUUCCCACGGGCGCGCGGACUCCCGGUGUCCCGGCCGGCUGCCCGACGGUAGGACCAGAGGAGUCGAUCCGCUUGAACAUGAGAAACACUGUGGAUUGUGAAGCGUCCGGCCCGGCGCCGGGGCGCGCGGUGGAACAAAGUGGUC